GAUCAUGGCUCAGGAUGAACGCUAGCGGCAGGCUUAACACAUGCAAGUCGAGGGGCAGCGUGGAGUAGCAAUACUCUGACGGCGACCGGCGAAAGGGUGAGUAACGCGUGAGCAACAUGCCCGAUACUGGAGGAUAGUCGAUGGAAACGUCGCGUAAUACUCCGUAACAUAGGGGACCGCAUGAUUCUCUAUUAAUAGAUUUAUCGGUAUCGGAUUGGCUCGCGUACCAUUAGCUAGUUGGCGGGGUAACGGCCCACCAAGGCGACGAUGGUUAGGGGUUCUGAGAGGAAGGUCCCCCACAUUGGAACUGAGACACGGUCCAGACUCCUACGGGAGGCAGCAGUGAGGAAUAUUGGACAAUGGCCGAGAGGCUGAUCCAGCCAUGCCGCGUGCCGGGAGGACGGCCCUAUGGGUUGUAAACCGCUUUUGUUGGGGAGCAAUAAGGGUCACGUGUGACCUGAUGAGAGUACCCAGCGAAUAAGCAUCGGCUAACUCCGUGCCAGCCGCCGC
RNAcentral lists this ribosomal RNA (510 nucleotides) under uncultured bacterium. Its description in RNAcentral is "bacterial SSU rRNA". It matches the Rfam family "Bacterial small subunit ribosomal RNA", at positions 15 to 518 of the family's 1533-position model. The record is from RNAcentral.